Molecule: long non-coding RNA, 478 nt
Filed under: Oryzias sinensis (Chinese medaka)
Lineage: Eukaryota; Metazoa; Chordata; Actinopteri; Beloniformes; Adrianichthyidae
Description: lncRNA (ENSOSIG00000008366.1)
Source: RNAcentral
CAUCGGCGGGUGAAAUCACACAGGCCAACCCCACCGCCCUGCCCAUCCCCGAGCUCACACUCACCAGCAGAACUGGCUGAAUGUUGUUGAUUUCCUGACCCAAGUGGAUGCGGAUCAGCGGAAAGGCCCCGACAACUCCUUCUCUGCCAGACCAAGGUGUCAGGCGUCCUUGAAGUGAUGCUUUGAAAAUCAAUGUUUGAUGUUGCAGAAUAGCAAAUCUGAUUUGACUGGCUAACGUGAUUUGCUUGAGCUUAGAUAGAGAGCAACAGCUCAUGUUCAUCUCAGCUUCUGAAGCCACAGACGAAAGCAAAUUUCAGCCAAAUGAACCCCGACUUUUGGCACAGAGCUAAUCAUAGAGUGCUAAUACAUGGCCUUACAUUGAUGCUCUUUAAGGUUUGAUCCCUAUCUAAUAGUUUCGACAUGAUCAAACUUUUUGCAUUUGAUGAAGAAGAUGUGCUCUAGAUCGUUUUUAUAGCUA